CCGGCGUCUCACGCAUGCAGUCGAACGGGGAGAGUUGGAGCACUAAUCUUCUAGUGGCAAACGGGUGAGUAACACGUAGGCAUCUACCUUCGAGUGGGGAAUAACGAGUCGAAAGAUUCGCUAAUACCGCAUGAUCUAUGCUGAAAGACGCAUAGCAAAGGUCCUGCAAGGGAUCGCUGGAAGCGGAGCCUGCGGCCGAUCAGGUAGUUGGUGAGGUAACGGCUCACCAAGCCUCUGACCGGUAGCUGAUCUGAGAGGAUGACCAGCCACACUGGCACUGAGAGACGGGCCAGACUCCUACGGGAGGCAGCAGCGAGGAAUAUUGCACAAUGGAGGCAACUCUGAUGCAGUAACGCCGCGUGCGGGACGAAGACCUUCGGGUUGUAAACCGCUUUUGAGAGAG
This 403-nucleotide ribosomal RNA is filed under the name uncultured soil bacterium. RNAcentral describes it as "bacterial SSU rRNA". It matches the Rfam family "Bacterial small subunit ribosomal RNA", at positions 39 to 444 of the family's 1533-position model. The record is from RNAcentral.